This 245-nucleotide ribosomal RNA is filed under the name uncultured bacterium. RNAcentral describes it as "partial 16S ribosomal RNA". It matches the Rfam family "Bacterial small subunit ribosomal RNA", at positions 524 to 768 of the family's 1533-position model. The record is from RNAcentral.
GACGAGGGGUGCAAGCGUUAUUCGGAAUUAUUGGGCGUAAAGGGUGUGUAGACGGUAUGCUAAGUCUGUUGUUAAAUCUCCCGGCUUAACCGGGAACAAGCAGUGGAUACUGGUGUGCUAGAGGGUGGAAGAGAGAAGUGGAAUUCUCGGAGUAGCGGUAAAAUGCGUAGAUCUCGAGAGGAACACCAAUGGCGAAGGCAGCUUCUUGGUCCAUUUCUGACGUUGAAACACGAAAGCGUGGGGAG